GACGAACGCUGGCGGCGUGCUUAACACAUGCAAGUCGAACGGAAAGGCCCUGCUUUUGUGGGGUGCUCGAGUGGCGAACGGGUGAGUAACACGUGAGUAACCUGCCCCUGACUUUGGGAUAACUUCAGGAAACUGGGGCUAAUACCGGAUAUGAGCUCCUGCUGCAUGGUGGGGGUUGGAAAGGUUCGGCGGUUGGGGAUGGACUCGCGGCUUAUCAGCUUGUUGGUGGGGUAGUGGCUUACCAAGGCUUUGACGGGUAGCCGGCCUGAGAGGGUGACCGGCGACAUUGGGACUGAGAUACGGCCCAGACUCCUACGGGAGGCAGCAGUGGGGAAUAUUGCACAAUGGGCGGAAGCCUGAUGCAGCAACGCCGCGUGCGGGAUGACGGCCUUCGGGUUGUAAACCGCUUUCGCCUGUGACGAAGCGUGAGUGACGGUAAUGGGUAAAGAAGCACCGGCUAACUACGUG
RNAcentral lists this ribosomal RNA (468 nucleotides) under uncultured bacterium. RNAcentral's name for it is "partial 16S ribosomal RNA". It matches the Rfam family "Bacterial small subunit ribosomal RNA", at positions 28 to 507 of the family's 1533-position model. The record is from RNAcentral.